CUUGUCUACCCUUCGGUGUUUUGGUUUUCAGUUCCUCCUUUGCCAGUCGGUUGUUUGUUGUUUGUUGUUUGUUGUCACGUGUGGGAGAGUUGCUGCUGCUGAGGCUGAAACUGAGAUGAAGGAGGAGGUUUUAGUUUUAACAGGAAACAAACAGACGGUGUUCUUUUAUUUUUUAGUUUAAAGGUGUAAUAACCUGGUCUGAACAGCAGAGGUUUUAUACAGAAAGGGAAAUUAAUUUCCAGAUCAGAUGCUGAUCGAUUGUUUCCUGAUAACCUCUGUGAUCUGUCGUUCCCUGCAGUGGCAGCCGAGGUCUCCAUCCUUCCCCUGAGACCCCAACAUGACCACUGCAGCUGUCAGAA
Molecule: long non-coding RNA, 359 nt
Organism: Melanotaenia boesemani (Boeseman's rainbowfish)
Lineage: Eukaryota; Metazoa; Chordata; Actinopteri; Atheriniformes; Melanotaeniidae
Exons: 3
Source: RefSeq, a predicted model, not a curated record